RNAcentral lists this Y RNA (95 nucleotides) under Sapajus apella (tufted capuchin). RNAcentral describes it as "Cebus apella (Tufted capuchin) Y RNA". It matches the Rfam family "Y RNA". Rfam says of the family: Y RNAs are components of the Ro ribonucleoprotein particle (Ro RNP), in association with Ro60 and La proteins. The Y RNAs and Ro60 and La proteins are well conserved, but the function of the Ro RNP is not known. Lineage: Eukaryota; Metazoa; Chordata; Mammalia; Primates; Cebidae. The record is from Rfam by way of RNAcentral. RNAcentral also lists the same sequence under 1 other name.
AGCUGGUCUGAUGGUAGUGGGUUAUCAGAGUGUAUCAACAUUAGUGCCACAAAAGUUGGUAUACAACCCCCACUGCUAAAUUCAACUGGCUAGAA